This 563-nucleotide ribosomal RNA is filed under the name uncultured archaeon. RNAcentral describes it as "bacterial SSU rRNA". It matches the Rfam family "Archaeal small subunit ribosomal RNA", at positions 314 to 879 of the family's 1478-position model. The record is from RNAcentral.
CGAUUCGCCCUUCGGGGUGCAGCAGGCGCGAAAACUUUGCAAUACACGAAAGUGUGACAGGGUCAUCCCGAGUGCCGACCGCUGAGGUUGGCUUUUACCCAGUCUAGAAAGCUGGGGGAAUAAGGAGAGGGCAAGUCUGGUGUCAGCCGCCGCGGUAAUACCAGCUCUCCGAGUGGUGUGGACGUUUAUUGGGCCUAAAGCAUCCGUAGCUGGCUGAACAAGUCCCCUGUUAAACCCACCGAUUUAAUCGUUGGUCUGCGGGGGAUACUGCUCGGCUAGGGGACGAGAGAGGCAGACGGUAUUCCCGGGGUAGGGGUGAAAUCCUAUAAUCCCGAGAAGACCACCAGUGGCGAAGGCUGUCUGCUAGAACGCGCCCGACGGUGAGGGAUGAAAGCUGGGGGAGCGAACCGGAUUAGAUACCCGGGUAGUCCCAGCUGUAAACGAUGCAGACUAGGUGUUUGGACGGCCACGUGCCGUUCUAGUGCCGCAGGGAAGCUGUUAAGUCUGCCGCCUGGGGAGUACGAUCGCAAGAUUGAAACUUAAAGGAAUUGGCGGGGGAGCAC